This 28-nucleotide small RNA is filed under the name Bombyx mori (domestic silkworm). Its description in RNAcentral is "ovarian small RNA-29808". Lineage: Eukaryota; Metazoa; Arthropoda; Insecta; Lepidoptera; Bombycidae. The record is from RNAcentral.
UCUCGUGUUUUAUAAGAGUUACUAUGCA